This 507-nucleotide long non-coding RNA is filed under the name Androctonus crassicauda. The record is from RNAcentral. Lineage: Eukaryota; Metazoa; Arthropoda; Arachnida; Scorpiones; Buthidae.
ACAAUCAACCACGUUAUGUUAGUAGGUCACCAAAGAACAGAACUCAUCAUUAUUGGAAUACACAGUCCUACCCACAAGUCACGGAAAGUUAUAGGUCAGGAUUUACGACGAGAUUCCAAUCGCCUCCAAGAUUUAACGCACCGCGAGGUAAUGAGCAGGAUGCAUCGACAAGAAUAAACAACAAAAGGCGAACGUCUUCACGCGACUUCAUAUCAGGUGUAACGCUAGGAAAAAGAAGAAAUUUCGAUAAAAAUAAUAGUAAUAAUAAUAAUGCAAACUAUGGAGAUGAACUGUUAGCAAUGUUAAAACAAAUUUGGAACCGACUCAAUAGACUGGAAAACGCAAUACAUUCACAAUCGUCUACGUUUUCAGAGCCGAGAGUGCGACGUAGGAAUAGGAAAACAAAGCAUGACGAACGUUAUUCGUCACAACGUUCUUACGAUAUAUCUGGCGUCAGACAGAAUAAUUUUUAUGAGUUUGCACAACAAAAUUCACGGGGUAAAACAC